This 253-nucleotide ribosomal RNA is filed under the name uncultured bacterium. RNAcentral describes it as "partial 16S ribosomal RNA". It matches the Rfam family "Bacterial small subunit ribosomal RNA", at positions 524 to 776 of the family's 1533-position model. The record is from RNAcentral.
UACGUAGGGGGCUAGCGUUGUCCGGAAUCAUUGGGCGUAAAGCGCGCGUAGGCGGCCAGAUAAGUCCGGUGUGAAAGUCACAGGCUCAACCUGUGAAUGCCGCUGGAAACUGUCUGGCUCGAGUCCGGGAGGGGCGAGUGGAAUUCCUGGUGUAGCAGUGAAAUGCGUAGAUAUCAGGAGGAAUACCGAUGGCGAAGGCAGGUCUCUGGGCUGACACUGACGCUCAUGCACGAAAGCGUGGGGAGCAAACAGG